Molecule: long non-coding RNA, 328 nt
Filed under: Elaeis guineensis (African oil palm)
Lineage: Eukaryota; Viridiplantae; Streptophyta; Magnoliopsida; Arecales; Arecaceae
Description: long non-coding RNA (EGUI_LNC013928)
Source: RNAcentral
CUGUUAAUGGAUGAAGAUGCGGACAAAAGGGAGGGAAAUUUGCUUUAUAUAUAUAUGUAUAUAUACACACACACACACAUACAUAUUACCAUUCAUUGUACAAAAAAAUGAUCCCAAUUUUCCCCAACUGUUAAUGGAUGAAGAUGCGGACAAAAGGGAGGGAAAUUUGCUGUGCACUGGCACAUGGGGUCGAAGCGAGGAUGUUACAAUAGAUCAGAGAUUUUCCUCUCUUUUUUUUUUUGACAAUAGAUCAGAGAUUAGGGACAUAAUGGAAUAAGGAAUAGGGGCUGAUUUGGGAAAAUCGAAGAUCAGUGAAGUUGAAUGAGAG